Oenanthe melanoleuca is the source of this 810-nucleotide long non-coding RNA. RefSeq lists it as uncharacterized. The transcript has 3 exons. Lineage: Eukaryota; Metazoa; Chordata; Aves; Passeriformes; Muscicapidae. The record is from RefSeq and is a predicted model, not a curated record.
AGGAAUUAUGUUUCGAGAGUGAUGUUUUAAAAGAUUCUCCUAAAAAAGAGUUAUGUGAUAAGAGUUGACUUUGGAUCUCUUGACCUGUCUUUGCCAUUUUCUCCUUCAAAGACUCCAAUUCAUUUCUAAGGGCCAAAUUAACAAACAUUGCUCUGCUAGUCAGCUGUACUUUCAAAUCAUGCAUUUUUUUCUGCAAAAGGAAAAGGAAGAGUUUUGAGCAUACAUGUGUAAACUACAACUCAUGGUGCUUCUCAGACAUGAACACAAGGCUUUCAGAAGAACCAAACAACAUCCAAGCCAUGGAUUAUCCAGAGUGUAUCUUUACAUAUUCCUGGUGGAAUAUGAAGUGCUGUACAUGUCCCCUGCUGUGAGUUUAAUUACCUAGUUGGCAAAACUACUAAAUUAGGUUCCUUGGACAUAAUUUUGAAUAAAGACAUUCGCUUCAGACUUCAUAAUCCUUUGCAUUCAUCUGAAUAAAAAGACUGAAUAAACAUGAGAGAAUUCCAGUUCUAUAGGACAGAACAGCAGGGCAGUCAACAGGGCUGUCUUCAUCCUCAGUACAGCCCCUGCAGGGAGUGCAAGGGGCAGCAGUCUCUACAGGAGGACAGAGGAUCUGCUGUCACUUAUGAGCAGAAUAGUUCAGGGUGGGACACAGCUCUGUCUGUUAUUUCUUAUGCACUUGUAUACAUGUUAUGAUGUUUAACUUGACUAUUUACAAAAACUUGUUAUUGCCCUAUUUCAGACCUCUCUGAUUUGGAGAGCAUUACAAGCAGACGUGGUAAAAUAAAAUGCACACCUGAUUUCAGACUA